AUUGAACGCUGGCGGCAGGCCUAACACAUGCAAGUCGAACGGUAACAGGAAGCAGCUUGCUGCUUCGCUGACGAGUGGCGGACGGGUGAGUCAUGUCUGGGAAGCUGCCUGAUGGCGGGGGAUAACUACUGGAAACGGUAGCUAAUCCCGCAUAAUGUCGCAAGACCAAAGAGGGGGACCUUCGGGCCUCUUGCCAUCGGAUGUGCCCAGAUGGGAUUAGCUUGUUGGUGGGGUAACGGCUCACCAAGGCGACGAUCCCUAGCUGAUCUGAGAGGGUGACCAGCCACACUGGAACUGAGACACGGUCCAGACUCCUACGGGAGGCAGCAGUGGGGAAUAUUGCACAAUGGGCGCAAGCCUGAUGCAGCCAUGCCGCGUGUAUGAAGAAGGCCUUCGGAUUGUAAAGUACUUUCAGCGGGGAGGAAGGGAGUAAAGUUAAUACCUUUGCUCAUUGACGGUACCCGCAGAAGAAGCACCGGCUAACUCCGUG
This 490-nucleotide ribosomal RNA is filed under the name uncultured bacterium. RNAcentral's name for it is "partial 16S ribosomal RNA". It matches the Rfam family "Bacterial small subunit ribosomal RNA", at positions 30 to 507 of the family's 1533-position model. The record is from RNAcentral.